GAUUCAUAUAGGUAGUGCUAACCAUUUAAGAUUAACCCUUAUUUAAGAUUAACACUUAUUAUGUAGAUGAUGUUAUUAAUAAUUUAAAUGUUAUUUUAAAAAAUUAUUAAUUUAAUUUUAAAUUGAUUGACUGGAUCCAAAUUCAUCAAUUUUGAAUUGAAUCAUAUUAAUCUUCAAAUUUGAUCCUCAAUUUUAGUAGCUUAUCUGAUAAUCU
Molecule: unclassified non-coding RNA, 214 nt
Filed under: Hevea brasiliensis (rubber tree)
Lineage: Eukaryota; Viridiplantae; Streptophyta; Magnoliopsida; Malpighiales; Euphorbiaceae
Source: RNAcentral